GUGAACGUGACAGAAUUCCUCCAAUUAUUUACUUUUCAUCAACACCUGAGGGCCUACAAGAAACAGAAAGUCCUCUGAGAGGCACCCCCUGCAUGAAUGCACACAAGGAGGGUCCACCAUAAAGAACCAGACCUGUUCUGCCCCCAUGGCACCCAUAAGGAUUCAUUCAUUCCCUGUUCCCCUUCUAUCCCCUCACAAAAUGGAAUGUAUUGACAUCAGGUAAAUUCUCUUCCAACCACAGAAUCCCAGUGCUGCACCAGCUCAGUCUGCAGCAAAGCCCAUGGAUUCUGACCUUCAUGCUUGAUUGUAUGGAGCCAGAGCAGCCCCAAGGGGAGGUGGAGGUAGAGGUUACAGAAUCAUAAGGUUGGAAGAGACCUUCAAGAUUAUCGAGGUCAAACUUGACAUUUUUGAGAGCUAGCCCAAAGAGAGGCUUUGGUGACAUUGGGGUGACAUGAAGCAUGACUGCAGAACAAUUCAGUCACGGCCAUCUAACCUCAACAGCCUCAAGAGGAAUAUGGAUGGGACAUGCCCUUCACACAACACAGAACUGAAAUUUGAGCUUUUAACCAGCUAACAGGGACCCUGAGGAUGAGAAUUUCUCCUAAGAGAGCAUGGACACAGUAAGAUCAAGACAGUACAAGAAGAAGUUCGAGUGAGGAACUGCACUACAGAGAGUUUCACUUCACUGGGCAGCUGGGAAGAACUGAAACAACACAAGGAGUUCUCCCUCUCGCCGUGUGAAAAGCAGGCAGGGUGUGUACCCAACUUCAGUGACUGUGAGGGCAAAACAACUCAUUUGGUCCAGUGACAACACUGAGAGCAAUCCUAUGGAAGAGGA
Long non-coding RNA from Passer domesticus (house sparrow), 838 nucleotides. RefSeq lists it as uncharacterized. The record is from RefSeq and is a predicted model, not a curated record. NCBI's taxonomy places the organism in Eukaryota, Metazoa, Chordata, Aves, Passeriformes, Passeridae. The transcript has 3 exons.